UACGUAGGGGGCAAGCGUUGUCCGGAAUUAUUGGGCGUAAAACGCGCGCAGGCGGUUUCUUAAGUCUGGUGUGAAAGCCCGCAGCUCAACUGCGGAGGGCCACUGGAAACUGGGAAGCUUGAGUGUAGGAGAGGAGAGCGGAAUUCCACGUGUAGCGGUGAAAUGCGUAGAUAUGUGGAGGAACACCCGUGGCGAAAGCGGCUCUCUGGCCUAUAACUGACGCUGAGGCGCGAAAGCGUGGGGAGCGAACAGG
RNAcentral lists this ribosomal RNA (253 nucleotides) under uncultured bacterium. RNAcentral describes it as "partial 16S ribosomal RNA". It matches the Rfam family "Bacterial small subunit ribosomal RNA", at positions 524 to 776 of the family's 1533-position model. The record is from RNAcentral.